This 256-nucleotide ribosomal RNA is filed under the name uncultured Lactobacillus sp. Its description in RNAcentral is "partial 16S ribosomal RNA". It matches the Rfam family "Bacterial small subunit ribosomal RNA", at positions 107 to 355 of the family's 1533-position model. The record is from RNAcentral. Lineage: Bacteria; Bacillati; Bacillota; Bacilli; Lactobacillales; Lactobacillaceae.
UGAGUAACGCGUGGGUAACCUGCCCUUAAGUCUGGGAUACCAUUUGGAAACAGAUGCUAAUACCGGAUAAAAGCUACUUUCGCAUGAAAGAAGUUUAAAAGGCGGCGUAAGCUGUCGCUAAAGGAUGGACCUGCGAUGCAUUAGCUAGUUGGUAGGGUAACGGCCUACCAAGGCGAUGAUGCAUAGCCGAGUUGAGAGACUGAUCGGCCACAUUGGGACUGAGACACGGCCCAAACUCCUACGGGAGGCAGCAGCC